GCAGCCCCGGCCGCUGGGCGCACCCGUCCCGUUCGUCCCCGGACGUUGCUCUCUACCCCGGGAACGUCGAGACUGGAGCGCCCGAACUGAGCCACCUUCGCGGACCCCGAGAGCGGCGGCGCGACUCACCGCGGAGGCGCCCGGACGCGUCAAGGCUGUCAUCUGUUCUGGGGAUCUGUUGCUGUUUCUUGGGCCCACAGAAUACACUCCACACCUCGGGACUCCAUAAUAUUGGACAAGGCUGGAAGGCCCAUUUGGCUCCUGCAGCCUCUUAUGCAGGAGGACCUCCUGAGGCUUCGGGCAGGAGCUGGUGCACACCUGGAGGAGAGUGCUGGUGAAUGGCAGGUGUGUGCCUCAGUGUCCUUGCUGCCAGGGUGUCAGCCCUGCUUCACCACUGGCCGUUUGUCUCUGUCCCCUCCACUGGCCUCUUGAAGCACAGAGACCCUCCGGGUACUUUCCUUCCUCUGGGCUUCCACUCAUGCUAUUCCCUGCUCCCUUUUUCUACCUGGAGACCCCCAUUCCUCCUCCUCCUCUGCUGCCCUCACCUCCACCUGGGCCCUCCCAGCUCCCGGGAGAUGGCUGAACCCCACUCCCCACCCGCUAGUCAUCCUCUUCAGCGGUCCUCCCAGAGCUGUCCUCAGCAUGGCAGCCUCCACAGCCCCUGGGUGUCACCCCCGGUUUCGUGUCUGCCUCGGACUCCAGACCUGCCCCUCCCAGGCUGGCCCAGAUGGAUCCUCUACAGUGACUAACCCAAACCAGCACCAGGCAGGGACCCAAUAAACCUUUGUGAAUGGA
Molecule: long non-coding RNA, 795 nt
Organism: Homo sapiens (human)
Lineage: Eukaryota; Metazoa; Chordata; Mammalia; Primates; Hominidae
Gene: DIO3OS
Product: DIO3 opposite strand upstream RNA
Source: Ensembl